Molecule: long non-coding RNA, 1041 nt
Filed under: Anas zonorhyncha (Eastern spot-billed duck)
Lineage: Eukaryota; Metazoa; Chordata; Aves; Anseriformes; Anatidae
Description: lncRNA (ENSAZOG00000002250.1)
Source: RNAcentral
GUAGGCGAUGGGACUCCAACGCCUGGCACCAGCACACCAACACCUGGGACACCAACACCCUCGCCAGGCUCAGGUGAGUGGAGCAGACGAGUCACGGGGCUGCAGCGUUCGGUCAGGGUGGGCUGUGGAGAGGAGGCGGCAGGAGGUGCAUCACUGAACGUUUCCUCUGGUCCUUCCUCUGUCAGGGACCUGUGUGGUGGAAGGAGACCCUCACUACCUGUGACGUUCUCCCGCACAGAUUCUGUGGGAAUGAAUAGUCAGAGAUCAUGGGUGUUCUUUUCUUUUACGUUCCUUGUCCUUAAGUCUUGUGGCUAAGGUUUAAGAUCCUGGACCCUCUCAUUGCCACAGGAAAUCUGCUGGGUGUGCACAAUACUUCCUAGACUUGCAGUCCAGGGAGGCUUGCCUUCUCUGCCAGAGGAGUCCUGCCCAGAAUGUUCUUGUGUGCUUGACAGCCUUGCUUGUGCUUAGUGUGGAAGCAGCCUGUCCAGGGUGUAGUGUCAUCAGCAUUUGUUUGAGUAGACGAGUCAUGGUGCUGCAGUGUUCUGGUCAGGAUGGGCUGUGGAGAUGAGGUGGCAGGAUGUGCUUAACUGGGCAGUGCACUGGGUCUGACUUGAAUGAAGUACCUUCUUGUGCGAAGACCUUUUUUGAUAGUGAUACACAGUCAUUCUUGCUGUACGCACAGUUUUCCAUAAUGUUUGCAUAAUUGGGAAGGGUGGAAGAGCUGCCUGAAAGAAAUCUUCAUUCUGAAAAGCAGCUUCUGUAUCUCCAUCUUGUUCUACAUCCAACAGAUCCUACUGCCUUGCCAAAUGUUACUACACAGCCUCCAUGGACAACAAAACCUGGAGUAAGCACAGUGGCUCCAUCAACAUCUCAACCUGGGACUUCCUUGCCAGUCACCACAACACAGCCUGCACACACUCCAUCACCACCAAGACCUACACCAAGUUCAGGUAUAGCGUUUCUUGUUUAUAAGUCUUUUAUCUUCAGUUUCUAUACUGUCCAUUUGCAUGAAGGUCCGGUAGCAAGUGUACUUCGUCUCUU